GAUGAACGCUGGCGGCGUGCCUAAUACAUGCAAGUCGAGCGAACGGACGAGAAGCUUGCUUCUCUGAUGUUAGCGGCGGACGGGUGAGUAACACGUGGAUAACCUACCUAUAAGACUGGGAUAACUUCGGGAAACCGGAGCUAAUACCGGAUAAUAUUUUGAACCGCAUGGUUCAAAAGUGAAAGACGGUCUUGCUGUCACUUAUAGAUGGAUCCGCGCUGCAUUAGCUAGUUGGUAAGGUAACGGCUUACCAAGGCAACGAUGCAUAGCCGACCUGAUAGGGUGAUCGGCCACCCUGGAACUGAGACACGGUCCAGACGCCUACGGGAGGCAGCAGUAGGGAAUGUGCCGCAAUGGGCGAAAGCCUGACGGAGCAGCGCCGCGUGAGUGAUGAAGAUCUUCGGAUCGUAAAACUCUGUUAUUAGUGAAGAACAUAUGUGUAAGUAACUGUGCACAUCUUGACGGUACCUAAUCAGAAAGCCACGGCUAACUACGUG
This 497-nucleotide ribosomal RNA is filed under the name uncultured bacterium. Its description in RNAcentral is "partial 16S ribosomal RNA". It matches the Rfam family "Bacterial small subunit ribosomal RNA", at positions 28 to 507 of the family's 1533-position model. The record is from RNAcentral.